AUCAUAUCUAUAUCUAAUUUGAGUUCAGAACUCAAUACCUAUGUGCGGGUAGCUGAUCACCAUAAUUGCCAACCAUAGUAAUUGGUUCUUACUGAUGUCAAGUAGCUACAUAGAUCAUCCGAUCUCUACGGGAUGUCCACACGAAGUCCUAAUGUCAAUCGAUCUCCCAAGAGUGUGAGCUCAUGCAUCUUCUGAAAGAUAAAAAUGGACUAGGAGGAGGAUGAGGUAGUGGUGCA
Molecule: long non-coding RNA, 236 nt
Filed under: Elaeis guineensis (African oil palm)
Lineage: Eukaryota; Viridiplantae; Streptophyta; Magnoliopsida; Arecales; Arecaceae
Description: long non-coding RNA (EGUI_LNC012712)
Source: RNAcentral